UCCAGGCCUAGGCGCGGGGCAGGACGGGACCGGGCAAGCAGUUAAGAAGGGAAGAUGAACAUAAAGUAGGGAAGAGCAAGAAUGAAUUGGAACCUAAGACACGAGCUGGUCAUUCUUUCACUGUCUCCAACUUUAAAGAUAUGAGUAUCCUUGCUAGAGGAGCUGACACUCUUUGCCACAGGACUAGACACACACACGGCUCAGGAAUCAAAAAAGGUGAAGGAAGACUCAGGGAAAAGCUUCUGCCCCAUCCCAACAAGGUGAACCAGCUGAUUGGUGACAAAGUAGAUGAGCCGCAGUAGCACCUAGUGUCCCUGCACCACCGUUUCAAGUAUAAAACUGGAGGGAUGCUUCAGUUCUCCCCUUCAAGACUUACACAACCAUGUCUCUGUUGGGCUAUUCUAACCAGAA
RNAcentral lists this long non-coding RNA (411 nucleotides) under Pan troglodytes (chimpanzee). RNAcentral's name for it is "long non-coding RNA NONPTRT015780". Lineage: Eukaryota; Metazoa; Chordata; Mammalia; Primates; Hominidae. The record is from RNAcentral.